Molecule: ribosomal RNA, 253 nt
Filed under: uncultured bacterium
Lineage: Bacteria
Description: partial 16S ribosomal RNA
Rfam family: Bacterial small subunit ribosomal RNA
Source: RNAcentral
GACGUAGGGGACGAGCGUUGUCCGGAUUUAUUGGGCGUAAAGCGCGCGUAGGCGGUUUGGUAAGUCGGAUGUGAAAUCCCGUGGCUCAACCACGGGACUGCAUCCGAUACUGCCCGACUAGAGGUAGGUAGGGGAGAUCGGAAUUCCUGGUGUAGCGGUGAAAUGCGCAGAUAUCAGGAGGAACACCGAUGGCGAAGGCAGCCUUCUGGGCCAACACUGACGCUCAUGCACGAAAGCGUGGGGAGCAAACAGG